This 1050-nucleotide non-coding RNA is filed under the name Perkinsus marinus ATCC 50983. RNAcentral's name for it is "Eukaryotic large subunit ribosomal RNA". It matches the Rfam family "Eukaryotic large subunit ribosomal RNA", at positions 437 to 1365 of the family's 3401-position model. The record is from Rfam by way of RNAcentral. Lineage: Eukaryota; Perkinsozoa; Perkinsida; Perkinsidae.
CUGAUUGUAGGAUUGCUGCUCGCUCCUGUCUUCUGCUACUCAUUCACAGACCUGGUCGUGUUGAGCAGUUGUUUGGCAGAUGUUAGUGGUGUUUCCUACUUUCAGUCGUCAGCAUCACUGGCUGAGUGGAAAUAAUCCUUGGAUGCUAAUUGGUUCGCUAUCUGUGAAUUGGUUGCUUCCUUGCGAUACUCACUACUCGGUCAGUGAGGAAGUGCGUUUGCUGGUCAACGAGCUUUCUAACUGUCAUUACCCUGCGCUUUUCGAUUCGUCGAGUGGCCAGGAUGUGGCUUUGAGAUUGUUCGCACUUAGUAAUCGCGAUGCUGGCUUCCAACGGUUGCCUCCGGCCCGUCUUGAAACACGGACCAAGGAGUCUAACGUAUGUGCGAGUGUGUGAGUGGCAAACUUAUACGCGUAAUGAAAGUGAGGCCGUAUGGCCAUGUUGGGGUCACCAACAACCGACCUUGAUCUUCGGUGAAAGGUUUGAGUAUGAGCAUAUCCGUUAGGACCCGAAAGAUGGUGAACUAUGCCUGAGCAGGGUGAAGCCAGGGGAAACUCUGGUGGAGGCUCGUAGCGAUACUGACGUGCAAAUCGUUCGUCAGACUUGGGUAUAGGGGCGAAAGACUAAUCGAACCAUCUAGUAGCUGGUUCCCUCCGAAGUUUCCCUCAGGAUAGCUAGAGUCUUUAUCAGUUUUGUCAGGUAAAGCGAAUGAUUAGAGGUUCCGGGGAAGUAACUUCCUCGACCUAUUCUCAAACUUUAAAUGGGCAAGAUCCAGUAGUUACUUAAUUGAACUAUUGGGGUCAAUGAGACGACUCUAAGUGGGCCAUUUUUGGUAAGCAGAACUGGCGAUGAGGGAUGAACCUAACGCUCGGUUAUGUGCUAAACUGCUCGCUCAUCAGAUACCACAAAGGGUGUUGGUCGAUCUUACAGCAGACAGUGGUCAUGGAAGUCGAAAUCCGCUAAGAGUGUGUAACAACUCACCUGCCGAAUCGACUAGCCCGAAAAUGGAUAGCGCUGAAGCGAGUGACCGAUACCGGGCCAUUGUUGCAAGA